Molecule: long non-coding RNA, 2128 nt
Filed under: Arabidopsis thaliana (thale cress)
Lineage: Eukaryota; Viridiplantae; Streptophyta; Magnoliopsida; Brassicales; Brassicaceae
Description: natural antisense transcript overlaps with AT5G64000 (AT5G09175)
Source: RNAcentral
AGAAGUAAAAUCGAAUCUUCCUUAGUAUCAUUAUUCAUUAUCUAAGCAAAAAUAUCUUUCAUAUCUGAUGUAUACGAUAUAUGAACUAAGAAUAUACACCAAUUACUAGUUCAGACAAAUACAAAUACUGUAUUGUACAGUUUCUGUUGUGCCUCAGAAAUAAAGAUUCUCUUCUUCUAUGGAUUCUCUGACUGCCUUCAAUAUCCAUGGCUUGAGUUUCUUGGUGGUAACUAUGAUCCCCGUUUUGUGAGCAAGAUACUUUCCUUUCGAGAAGUCCAGAGAUUUCCCUGUAGCAUCACACACUACGCCUCCAGCUUCUGCACAAGGUUAUUUUGUUCUCUUCUUUAUAUGUAUAGUCCUCUUGUAUUUUCGUUAUACAUUAAAAAAAAAUGACAUGUGGGUAUUAAAUCUAGAUCCCUUAUGUGUUUGAUAACUAGCCAGUAACAUGUUAAGUUAUAAAGUGAAGUAGAGCCAACAGAUCUCAGCGUUUAAAAAGGUUUUAUGUACUGUACCUGUAGUGAUUAUUGAACCAGGUGCAUGGUCCCAAAUACACUCACGGUAUCCAUUGAGAGUGAAACGCAAGUAUAUCUCUGCGUCUCCUCGCGACAAAGCCGCAUACUUAGCUUGGCUAUCGAUCCUUACAGGUAAUGCUUUAAUCCCGAGUUUCUACUCUAACCGUAAACAGAUUGUUUUAGUGGAAAGAAUCCCACUUGGUUAUGGCCUACUUACGAGCACAUUGUAAUAGAAAGAAAAAAAACAAGUUGUUACCUUGGCAAUGGUACCAUGGAUGGGAAUUGGUUUGUGGUAUGAUUCUAAGAACUUCGCUUCAUCAAGAUUCUCAUUGCUACUCACUUGCACCUGUGUCAGCACAACAUCUCUUUAACACUUUCAAACAAUUGCAGAUUUAUCACAUGGUUUAGCUUUGGACAGGUGAAUGAUACCUUUUGUGGCAGAGAAUUGCCUUUGAGCGAUUGCACGUAAGUCCCUGAACCCGUUGUAGCAAAGAAAAGACAGCCAACAUCUUCCUGGGAAGAAUUAUCAGUCGCGCAAACCGCAGAAGCCAAAGGAAGAUUUGGGCAAGCCAUGACACCAAGCACCACUUUGCCUUCCACAAGCAAGGCUAACCCCACCGCGUAUUGCUCUCCUCUUACAAAUCUAAACAAGCAGAGAAGUUUAGCAACCAUGUUUUUAAGUGGCUGAAAAGAUUAAGUAUAGAGAAAGCAUAGAGAUUAGAGAGAUUGUCACCCUCUGGUUCCAUCUAUAGGAUCAAGAACCCAGUGGGAACCUUUGCAACCGCCUUCUGAUUUACCGCAGUCUAUAGCAUUUAACACAUCAUCUGUGGAUAGAGGAGAGCUGGUGUACGAUUCCUCAGAGGCUAGAGUAUCUUUCACAAGCUUUGCAAUAUCUUCUAGAAACGCCUCACUUCCAUUCUUCCGCAGAUCUCCAGUUUCCUGUUGGAGCUCCCUCUCCAAUACAAGACUAACCACAGCUUGUGAGCCUGAAGAAACCAUCCGUUAAUGGGAGUGGUAAAAGACAUUUUCUUGAUUGAUUUUAUAGAGAAAACAAGAACUUAGCAAAAACAGAAACUUGAAGUUGAAUUCGCGGGUAUGCAAACGACGAGGUACAAACCGUAAUCAGCUGCAGUAACCGGACUUCUAUCGGAUUUUUUCCAAACUUGGGAUUGCAAAAGAGUCUUCUGCACUUCCUGAUUCAUUACAUAAUAAGGUUUGUUUUAGUUUCAGCGAUUCAUAUAAGCUCCAUGCUCUGACUCUAGCUCAGUAGCUUGUUACCUGGCUGAGACGAGCAGCUAGAGUGACGGCUUUCUUUGCAGCGGCUAGCUCCUUCUCAUAAGACAUUGAAAAGCUUCAAGAAUAGACUAUGUAAAAGCUUAUUCUAUCUAAUAAUGGUUUUAUAUAUUGAAACAAUUUAUAGCCGUACUCUAAGUCAGGACGUAGUCAACAUCGUUGAAUGAUAUAAUAUAACCGAGUGUAUCGUGUGAGACGGAGUUGGUGCAAACCAUCUUUCACGUAAUUAUACACAACAAGUUGACGCUAAAAAAAGAAGAGGAUGGAUAGAAUAUGUAGACCAAAGAAUAUGGAUUAUUAUUCUGUAGAAUAUUUCACGGAUU